CACUUUAAAACAUACAAACUUCAAGUUACUAUUGCAGCAAUAGUGUGCUGCCGAUUUUGCCCCCACCUUUCAACCUUAAUUACUGGAUUUUUCCAUGACGUUGGAUGGUGCCACGUGUUCUAUCAGCCAUCUGCCUGGUUUGCUCCUCUUUGUUUUCCCUUUCUCUUUCCUCGACUGAGAUCUUCUUCCCCUUCCAUUUUCUAGAAACCCUAGCUCUAUCUCCGCAAUCUCCACAAUCUCCAUCGCCCCCUUCACCUAUCUCCUUCCAUCAUCCUGGAUUUUCAGAUCGUCAAUCCCCGUUUUUCUUCAAGAGGAUGUUGUUUUAUGGUGAUCAAAGGCCACGUUCGAGGAUUUUGAGAAGGAGUCCGACAUUGAUGCAUUCGAAUGUGAUAAUCGAUUGUUUUCUAUGGUUUUGUUAUUAAUUUUGCUAUUUUUGGUCAGUUUAACUCACUACCUCCUUCAUUUUCAACCCUAGCUAUCCGCUCUCAUGUGACGAAUCGGUUGAUUCUUAAUUCGCCUCUUCAACAAUCAGCACCCAGGUUCUUCAUGAUUAUACUCUCUCAAACAAAUUCUCCGCUGCGAAAACCGUUUGAACCCUCGAAUCUCAGGUAUUGGGGAAUCUAAUUGGCAAUGUCAGUGAGAAAAGCGACGAGGAUAAUGCUUCUCUUAAAACUUUGCGAGAUGCAAGUAUGAAAACAAGGAUGGUAAAGGAAGCAUAUGACAUCGAGAAGCAUCAUAUAUAGUGGAUAGAAGGCUAUGCAGAUAUAUGUUCAACAAAUGGCAUGCCCAAUAAUGAUGGACGGGUAACUAUGAGAAGGUUAUGGAAUUGUACAAUGUCCCGAGGCUUAGCCGUAACUCCUUUCCUCUUCUAACUCCCCCAAGAUCUGAAAAUGAUAAUAGCACUAUCGGUUUUGGAGUUGCGGGAAGCAAUUCAGACGGACUGAAUUCAGAGUGAGUAGUUGAUUGUGUGUGAAAAGGUGAACAAUUUCUCAAUUUUAUUUGUAGAAAUGAAAUUUUUUUGUACCUUCAUUGUUCCUUGUACAGAAUUCUCUGGUUAUAGACCUUAUAGUAGCUUCAAAUUGAUUUAAGAUGGCUGUCACUCUUUUGAAUGCAUAUUUUGUUGUUGGCUUUAUUUUGGCACUG
Long non-coding RNA from Spinacia oleracea (spinach), 1143 nucleotides. RefSeq lists it as uncharacterized. The record is from RefSeq and is a predicted model, not a curated record. NCBI's taxonomy places the organism in Eukaryota, Viridiplantae, Streptophyta, Magnoliopsida, Caryophyllales, Amaranthaceae. The transcript is spliced from 5 exons.